Molecule: long non-coding RNA, 573 nt
Filed under: Monodelphis domestica (gray short-tailed opossum)
Lineage: Eukaryota; Metazoa; Chordata; Mammalia; Didelphimorphia; Didelphidae
Description: lncRNA (ENSMODG00000051451.1)
Source: RNAcentral
GGUCAGGGGGUGGGAUUAACCUCUCACAUCCUAGUAAUGGCUUUAGAGGAAGUCAGAAAAUUCACUGAUGAUUAAAUACACCCAACUGACCAGCCCUGCACUUGAAGGAAAAGUUAAAAGCUAGAAGGAAGGGCUGCAGAAUCAUGAAAGGUGGAAGCCUUAGAAGAUCUGGGGAAAGAAGCGGGAAGGAACUUUUGAGACCCAGUGAAGGAUGAAAUGGUGGACCAAGUACACUUCUAAUGCCAGUGGCCAGCCAGUUGCAAAGGAACAAGAAACUGAAUACAAUUCUGCACCAUGGGGCAAGAGAGAGUAAUUCCAGCAGCACAGCUUCUGUGGGAAAUGGCAGAACUCAGACAAGGACAACAGAAUGCAAGUCUGCUAGAGUCUUUGAAGUUGUAGAAUGGGAAUGAGCCCAGACCAAACCACCUGACACAGGUAUAAAAGAAAGAGAUUUCUUGGUGGAGGAUUAGACCAAUCUAAGUCACUGAAUAUAGGCAGUGAUGUCAGAGAGGACAGAAAACAUGUUAAGAAAAGGAAAUUAAUAGAACCUUAGAAAAGUUUUAUAUGCAGACC